Molecule: long non-coding RNA, 1768 nt
Organism: Homo sapiens (human)
Lineage: Eukaryota; Metazoa; Chordata; Mammalia; Primates; Hominidae
Gene: GBA1LP
Product: glucosylceramidase beta 1 like, pseudogene
Source: Ensembl
AACCUAGUGCCUAUAGCUAUGGCAGGUACCUGCAUCCUUGUUUUUGUUUAGUGGAUCCUCUAUCCUUCAGAGACUCUGGAACCCCUGUGCUCUUCUCCUCAUCUAGUGACCCUGAGGUGAUGGAGUUUUCAAGUCCUUCCAGAGAGGUGCCUUCAGCCGCUACAAGAGCAGAAGCAGUGGGCAUUGGAUGGAGCUGAGUACAGGACCAUACAGGCUAAUUGCACCGGCACAGGAAUCGGAUAUAACAUCAUCUGGGUACCCAUGGCCAGCUGUGACUUCUCCAUCCGCACCUACACCUAUGCAGACACCCCUGAUGAUUUCCAGUUGCACAACUUCAGCCUCCCAGAGGAAGAUACCAAGCUCAAGAUACCCCUGAUUCACCGAGCCCUGCAGUUGGCCCAGCGUCCCGUUUCACUCCUUGCCAGCCCCUGGACAUCACCCACUCGGCUCAAGACCAGGGGAGCGGGGAAUGGGAAGGGGCCACUCAAGGGACAGCCCAGAGACAUCUACCACCAGACCUGGGCCAGAUACAUUGUGAAGUUCCUGGAUGCCUAUGCUGAGCACAAGUUACAGUUCUGGGCAGUGACAGCUGAAAAUGAGCCUUCUGCUGGGCUGUUGAGUGGAUACCCCUUCCAGUGCCUGGGCUUCACCCCUGAACAUCAGCGAGACUUCAUUGCCCGUGACCUAGGUCCUACCCUUGCCAACGGUACUCACCACAAUGUCCGCCUACUCAUGCUGGAUGACCAACGCUUGCUGCUGCCCCACUGGGCAAAGGUGGUACUGACAGACCCAGAAGCAGCUAAGUAUGUUCAUGGUAUUGCUGUACAUUGGUACCUGGACUUUCUGGCUCCAGCCAAAGCCACCCUAAGGGAGACACACCACCUGUUCCCCAACACCAUGCUCUUUGCCUCAGAGGCCUGUGUGGGUUCCAAGUUCUGGGAGCAGAGUGUGCGGCUAGGCUCCUGGGAUCGAGGGAUGCAGUACAGCCACAGCAUCAUCACACAAGUUCAUUCCUGAGGGCUCCCAGAGAGUGGGGCUGGUUGCCAGUCAGAAGAACGACCCGGACGCAGUGGCACUGAUGCAUCCCGAUGGCUCUGCUGUUGUGGUCGUGCUAAACCGCUCCUCUAAGGAUGUGCCUCUUACCAUCAAGGAUCCUGCUGUGGGCUUCCUGGAGACAAUCUCACCUGGCUACUCCAUUCACACCUACCUGUGGCGUCGCCAGUGAUGGAGCAGAUACUCAAGGAGGCACUGGGCUCAGCCUGGGCAUUAAAGGGACAGAGUCAGCUCACACGCUGUCUGUGACUAAAGAGGGCACAGCAGGGCCAGUGUGAGCUUACAGCGACGUAAGCCCAGGGGCAAUGGUUUGGGUGACUCACUUUCCCCUCUAGGUGGUGCCAGGGGCUGGAGGCCCCUAGAAAAAGAUCAGUAAGCCCCAGUGUCCCCCCAGCCCCCAUGCUUAUGUGAACAUGCGCUGUGUGCUGCUUGCUUUGGAAACUGGGCCUGGGUCCAGGCCUAGGGUGAGCUCACUGUCCGUACAAACACAAGAUCAGGGCUGAGGGUAAGGAAAAGAAGAGACUAGGAAAGCUGGGCCCAAAACUGGAGACUGUUUGUCUUUCCUGGAGAUGCAGAACUGGGCCCGUGGAGCAGCAGUGUCAGCAUCAGGGCGGAAGCCUUAAAGCAGCAGCGGGUGUGCCCAGGCACCCAGAUGAUUCCUAUGGCACCAGCCAGGAAAAAUGGCAGCUCUUAAAGGAGAAAAUGUUUGAGCCCA